Molecule: long non-coding RNA, 1172 nt
Filed under: Homo sapiens (human)
Lineage: Eukaryota; Metazoa; Chordata; Mammalia; Primates; Hominidae
Description: mir-99a-let-7c cluster host gene
Source: RNAcentral
AGGUACUCCAUUGUCUGGUAAAGUUCAUAUGACUGCAUUCUUUUUGCAAGGGGGGUGGAGGGAGAGCGGGGAAGGAGGGGGUGUCAGCUCAACUGUAAAAGCUGCACAGAUUUUUUUUCUUUCUCUCUCUCUGCCUCUCCAUAGAUUGUUUCUGUUUCAUGCCCUGUCUCAUUUCGCAUAGCUAAAAAAGAAUGCUAAUUAAGAUCCCUUGUCUUAACCUGAAAAAUAAUGACUCGGCUGUAAUUAGAAAUCUGGUGAGAGUUUAAAAAUUCUGGUAGGGGACCAAAAACAUCAGUUACGGUGCUUAGGAAGAAAAUGAAGAAUUAUUUUUCUGAAAUCAAGAUGGAUCUGAGAACGCUGUCUGGGCUUGGUACCAAGAGCUGGUAUUUCACAGCAGCGACCGCCUCACAGACGAGCUGUGGGAAGCAGGAGGGAGACUCUCUCUUAGGGUGCCACUACUAUGGAGACACAGCUGGGCUGAACAAGAUUUGCUUCAAACGACAACAAGAGAGACAGAAAGUAUCUGGUUCAACCGCUGCCCGAGCAGGCAGGCACCAGAAGAGCUAGCAGCCAAUCCGGCCAUGCUCGAAGCCAGCUCUGCAGCUCAGCCAAUCAGUGACAUCAUUGCUUUCUUUAGCUUGCCCAUGGUGAUGUGAAGAUGAGAAGAAAUAGCAAGGCCCAACCAGUUCUUCAUCUGGAGACAGUUCAACGUUCUGCAAACCAGAUCUUCAGGAAUUUUACUGGGAUAAUUAUCCAAAUAAAUUGCAAGCAUUCUAUCCAAAUGGUAAGCAGAACAUCUUAUUAUGUAAUCAUAUUUGUUUAUCCAUAAUUAAUAUAACUUUCUGAGUAUUGAAAUGAGAAACUUGAUUUACUCUUCUUCACUCAUGUUUUAAUUUUUUUAUAAGAAAAACUAGAAUCACUAAAGAAUUUCUUUUUAUUUUAUUUAAAAAUUAUAAUCCUGAGAUGCAAAUAUAUGCCAUGUAAGCCUGGGAACUAUUUAAUCACUUUACUCUAAAAUCUGGUAAAAGGUAAAAUUUCUGAAAAUAGGUGACUGGCAAACAUUUUGUAAACAAUAUAUAAGAAGAAUUGUAUAUCAAAAUAUACACAUAAAACUAUCUUUUCAGAUAAUUAUGUAUCAUUUAUUUUCUUAUAGCGAAAUUAUAAAAAUACAA